GGGUUGUGAGGUUAAGCGACUAAGCGUACACGGUGGAUGCCCUGGCAGUCAGAGGCGAUGAAGGACGUGCUAAUCUGCGAAAAGCGCCGGCGAGGUGAUAUGAACCUUUGACCCGGCGAUGUCCGAAUGGGGAAACCCAGUGCAAUCCGUUGCACUAUCGUUAACUGAAUACAUAGGUUAACGAGGCGAACCGGGGGAACUGAAACAUCUAAGUACCCCGAGGAAAAGAAAUCAACCGAGAUUCCCCCAGUAGCGGCGAGCGAACGGGGAGCAGCCCGGAGUCUGAAUCAGCUUGUGUGUUAGUGGAACGGUCUGGAAAGUCCGACGGUACAGGGUGAUAGUCCCGUACACGAAAGCACACAUGCUGUGAACUCGAAGAGUAGGGCGGGACACGUGGUAUCCUGUCUGAAUAUGGGGGGACCAUCCUCCAAGGCUAAAUACUCCUGACUGACCGAUAGUGAACCAGUACCGUGAGGGAAAGGCGAAAAGAACCCCGGCGAGGGG
RNAcentral lists this ribosomal RNA (504 nucleotides) under Escherichia coli. RNAcentral describes it as "partial 23S ribosomal RNA". It matches the Rfam family "Bacterial large subunit ribosomal RNA", at positions 1 to 536 of the family's 2925-position model. Lineage: Bacteria; Pseudomonadati; Pseudomonadota; Gammaproteobacteria; Enterobacterales; Enterobacteriaceae. The record is from RNAcentral.